RNAcentral lists this ribosomal RNA (254 nucleotides) under uncultured bacterium. Its description in RNAcentral is "partial 16S ribosomal RNA". It matches the Rfam family "Bacterial small subunit ribosomal RNA", at positions 524 to 776 of the family's 1533-position model. The record is from RNAcentral.
GACGAACCGUGCGAACGUUAUUCGGAAUCACUGGGCUUAAAGCGCGUGUAGGCGGGACGGCACGUCGGUCGCUGAAAGCCCCCGGCUCAACCGGGGAACGGGCGCCGAUACGACCGUCCUGGAGGGACGUAGAGGGACCUGGAACUUCCGGUGGAGCGGUGAAAUGCGUUGAGAUCGGAAGGAACGCCCGUGGCGAAAGCGAGGUCCUGGACGUUUUCUGACGCUGAGACGCGAAAGCCAGGGGAGCGAACGGG